UUUCUUUUUUUUUUGAGCAAAGAAUGCUUCAAAAGUUCUUGUUGGUUGGAUAUGAUGGAUCAGGAACCAGUACCAUAUUUAAACAGUAUAUAUAGCUAUCUGGGUGUACUGCUUGAGGGCCGUGAACGGUUUGAAGAAGAGACUUUGGCUGAGUAAAAGAAGAAACGACCAUGUGCUAGGACAGGGAAUGAAGGAUGUGAGAUUGAUGUUUUGAUGGGCUCACUAAAGUCAAAAACCAAUGACUUCGGCAUAUUUCUCUCUCUUUGGUUAAGAUUAUCUAUAUAAAAUUGAUUGUAAUAGACUUUGUUGGUUAAGAUCUUCUAUAUGAA
Molecule: long non-coding RNA, 329 nt
Organism: Asparagus officinalis (garden asparagus)
Lineage: Eukaryota; Viridiplantae; Streptophyta; Magnoliopsida; Asparagales; Asparagaceae
Exons: 3
Source: RefSeq, a predicted model, not a curated record